This 688-nucleotide ribosomal RNA is filed under the name unidentified microorganism. Its description in RNAcentral is "bacterial SSU rRNA". It matches the Rfam family "Bacterial small subunit ribosomal RNA", at positions 51 to 749 of the family's 1533-position model. The record is from RNAcentral.
ACACAUGCAGUCGAACGAUGGACUUUNGUGCUUGCACAGAAUGAUUAGUGGCGAACGGGUGAGUAACACGUGAGUAACCUGCCCCUGACUCUGGGAUAAGCCUGGGAAACUGGGUCUAAUACCGGAUAUGCACCGUGGACCGCAUGGUUUUUGGUGGAAAGAUUUUUUGGUCAGGGAUGGACUCGCGGCCUAUCAGCUUGUUGGUGAGGUAAUGGCUCACCAAGGCGACGACGGGUAGCCGGCCUGAGAGGGUGACCGGCCACACUGGGACUGAGACACGGCCCAGACUCCUACGGGAGGCAGCAGUGGGGAAUAUUGCACAAUGGGCGAAAGCCUGAUGCAGCGACGCCGCGUGAGGGAUGACGGCCUUCGGGUUGUAAACCUCUUUCAGUAGGGAAGAAGCGAAAGUGACGGUACCUGCAGAAGAAGCGCCGGCUAACUACGUGCCAGCAGCCGCGGUAAUACGUAGGGCGCAAGCGUUAUCCGGAAUUAUUGGGCGUAAAGAGCUCGUAGGCGGUUUGUCGCGUCUAUCGUGAAAGUCCGAGGCUCAACCUCGGAUCUGCGGUGGGUACGGGCAGACUAGAGUGAUGUAGGGGAGACUGGAAUUCCUGGUGUAGCGGUGAAAUGCGCAGAUAUCAGGAGGAACACCGAUGGCGAAGGCAGGUCUCUGGGCAUUAACUGACGCUGA